GACAGAGGGUGCAAACGUUGCUCGGAAUUACUGGGCGUAAAGCGCGUGUAGGCGGGCCACCAAGUCAGAUGUGAAAUCCCUGAGCUCAACUCAGGAACUGCAUUUGAAACUGGCGGCCUUGAGUGGUGGAGAGGGAAGCGGAAUUCCUGGUGUAGAGGUGAAAUUCGUAGAUAUCAGGAGGAACACCGGUGGCGAAGGCGACUUCCUGGACACCAACUGACGCUGAGACGCGAAAGCGUGGGGAGCAAACAGGAUUAGAAACCCCCGUAGUCC
This 273-nucleotide ribosomal RNA is filed under the name uncultured bacterium. RNAcentral's name for it is "partial 16S ribosomal RNA". It matches the Rfam family "Bacterial small subunit ribosomal RNA", at positions 524 to 796 of the family's 1533-position model. The record is from RNAcentral.